RNAcentral lists this ribosomal RNA (435 nucleotides) under uncultured bacterium. RNAcentral describes it as "bacterial SSU rRNA". It matches the Rfam family "Bacterial small subunit ribosomal RNA", at positions 958 to 1392 of the family's 1533-position model. The record is from RNAcentral.
AACGCGAAGAACCUUACCUACUCUUGACAUCCAGAGAAUUUGGCGGAGACGCUAGAGUGCCUUCGGGAGCUCUGAGACAGGUGCUGCAUGGCUGUCGUCAGCUCGUGUUGUGAAAUGUUGGGUUAAGUCCCGCAACGAGCGCAACCCUUAUCCUUGUUUGCCAGCGAGUAAUGUCGGGAACUCCAGGGAGACUGCCGGUGAUAAACCGGAGGAAGGUGGGGACGACGUCAAGUCAUCAUGGCCCUUACGAGUAGGGCUACACACGUGCUACAAUGGCGCAUACAGAGGGCGGCGAGCUAGCGAUAGUGAGCGAAUCCCAAAAAGUGCGUCGUAGUCCGGAUUGGAGUCUGCAACUCGACUCCAUGAAGUCGGAAUCGCUAGUAAUCGUGGAUCAGAAUGCCACGGUGAAUACGUUCCCGGGCCUUGUACACACCG